Molecule: small nucleolar RNA, 76 nt
Organism: Pistacia vera
Lineage: Eukaryota; Viridiplantae; Streptophyta; Magnoliopsida; Sapindales; Anacardiaceae
Product: small nucleolar RNA snoR122
Exons: 1
Source: RefSeq, a predicted model, not a curated record
UGCCAAUGAUGCAUCCAAAUGCAUGUAUUAUCAGAUAGAAUUAUGAUGAUAAUUGAUUGUCACUACCUCUGAGGCA